UCCAAACCCCCCCUCUCUCUCUCUCUCUCCACUUCCAAAACCGCCCAGCUCUUCACAGGCGGCGCCUUGCAGCGAGAUGGAUCUGACGCAGGUGCUGCCGGAGGAAAUACUCGCCGACGUGCUCCACCGCGUCGCGCCGCGCGGCCUUGCCGUGUGCCGCUGCGCCUGCAAGGCCCUGCUCGCCGUCAUCGACGCCCGCCGCCUGCUGCGCGCGGACGUCCUCCCGCUCUCCGUCGGCGGCGUAUUCAUCAAUUUCUACUGCGAACGUGUGUCGGAGUUCUUCGCCAGUCCCUCCACCGGCCCCACCAUCUCCGGCAGGUUCGACUUCCACCCAUACUGGAUUAUGAUCGCCCUGUUCUUGGCCCAUGGGUCUUACAAGAUAUUAACUAUAAUGGGUAUCUCAAAGAGAGAAAGGAUCUCAUUGAAGGUGGCGAAGAUACAGAAUACAUGGAAUACCUAAAAGAAAACAAAUUAGAGUUAAACUCCGGCAAGGAACAGCUAGUGGAAGAAAAGUUUGAAUGGGACUCCGAAAAUGACAACAUACUUCAUAAGGAAGAUGUGGUUGAUGCUCGUGGCAAUGGAUACUUUGAUAUCCUUGGAUUCCAUCCAUAUAAAGAAAUUGCCUUUCUGGGUGUAUCAAUGUACAGAGGAAUUGCCUAUCAUUUGAAAGAUUCGAAGGUUCAGGACCUUGGCUACUUAUACCCAACAACUUGUCAUUUGGCAUUGCAGAACGAGUGUUUCAUAACCGUGUCAUUCCCAUAUACACCUUGUUUGACAGGGUACCGGUAAGCAAUUAACAAGAAUGUACAAGGGCAUCUUAGAGACUGGUAUGCUGGUUGGAACCCAAUUGUACAAGAAUGUACAAUGGCCCAAUCAUGUUUAAGGCCUUGUUCAUUUUUAUUUAGCACUGGAUUUAUACUUAUCCAAUGAAAUGUCCAUAUUUUCCAUGUCGGUUCUAAGAACAUGUGACGUAACAGUGUAUCAUCAGAAAAUGGAAAGUAUAUCAAAUAUACUUCAUUGCUUUGUUCAACAACGCCAAUGUGUUUCUUUCUUAUGUAUCAUCUAUAUCAGAAACCAAUAUUUCCCUCAGCGGUAUCAUUUUCCCCUAUUAGUUUUGUUGUUGUUUUCCGGGUCCAGUUGGUGGUUAGUCUCAUCCUUGUCUGUUGUCUGAAUUAUUGUCCUGCUUAUACUGUGGUACUCUUGUAUGCCUAACCUACUCCAGGAAAAGGUUUACGGAUUGCAGUGGAAAUAACAUCCACUCUUAUGCUGAGUAUAACUGAGUUUUUUUAUAAAGGACAUUUCAUUGAAUUAAUUUAUCAAGGUGAUACAACCGCAUCUAAAGCAUGCCCGACCUCUGCAUAACAUGAUGCACACAACCAACAAGUCCAAACGACCAAAAAAUAAACAUAGUUUUGCAGCAAAAAUAAAUCAAUCCAGCCUAGGAUGGGGCAGAUCCUAUACGGAGAUUACACCGCCAUCCAUGGAGGGAGAAAACCUCCAUAGCCGUACUCUCCAGCCGUGUCGACGCCAUCAUAAAAAGGUCUCUGUCUUCCGACUUCUGCAGGAUAGACCAAGUACAGAGCCAUCACGUACAUGCAUGAAUAACCUGCACAGGAGAAGAACCACAUUUAUUAUUAAAACCCACAUCAUUCCUAGAAAGCCACAAUGCCCAGCAUAAGGCAGCCGCCCAAACAAGAAUAUGUGUAGAAAAUUGUUUAUCAAUACCCCGCCGCAACCAAUUGCUGAACAUGUUACACACACUACAUGGGGGGGGGGGUAUAGAUUUGAAACUACUUGAACUAUGGCCCAUACUGCACGAGCAAACUUACACUAAAAAAUUAGUGUUUAAUAGACUCGUCAUGUUGGCAAAAGACACAUGUCUUGCUACCUUGCAAGUUACGUCGUGCCAGAUUAUCUCUAGUUAAGAUGACCCCUCUGCUUAAAAACCAGAGGAAUAUCUUCACACUUGGAGGAAUUUUUAGCUUCCACAAUUUUUUGUUAUCAACGGGAAUAUCAAUAUGAGUUAUCGCAUCGUACUAGGACUUGACUGAGAAACUGCCGUUUUAAUGCAGUUUCCAUCGAAACUUGUCCGGUUCUCUUGUCAGUUGAAUCCUCCAGACGAGUGAGUAACUCAUUCCAUGCUGCCAGACGAGGGCCAAAGAGGUCCCUACAAAAAGAAAUAUCGGGGUUUUCUUGUCCCAAAACUUGUUUGAUCCUUACAAGUUUAUGUCUGACAACCCUAUACAAGCUAGGGUGAUGUACCAUAAGUGGGGUCGCACCUAGCCAGGUAUCUUCCCAGAAUCGAACCUGAGAACCAUCCUAACUAACAAAGUACCAAGCUGAAAAAAUAAUUCCUUGGCCUUCAUGACACCAUACCAAAAAUGGGAAUCAUCGGGUUUCCAAUGAACUUGAAAAAUGGCUUUGGACCCCACGUAUUUGUUACGAAUAAUUUCCUGCCAUACUCCAUUCUCGGUGAUUAAUUUGUAAACCCAUUUACUCAGAAGAGCUUUGUUUUUAAUCUCAAGGUCUUGAAUUCCAAGGCCCCAUUGACUUUUAGGUCGGUAUAAUAUAGUCCACCUAGCCAGUCGGUAUUUCUUAGAUUCAUUAUCACAUUGCCAAAAAAAUCUGGAUCAAAAGUAAUCCAAACACUGAAGAACCCCUUUUGGUUAGUGGAAGAAUGACAACACGUAUAGAACCAUAUUGCUGAGGACAGAAUUGAUCAAUAUCAAUCUCCCCCCAUAUGACAAGAGUCUGGCUUUCCAACUGGCUAGCCGUUUCUCAAGUCUCUCUUCCACAUGUUUCCACUCAGCGAUAGUUAAGCGCCGAUAGUGAAUCGGAAUACUAGAUACCUAAUCGGGAACUGCCAAUGCUGGCAGCCAAAAAUGUCAGCUUACUCAGCUGCGAACUCUGCAGCGUCGUCGAAGCAGAAAAGCUCUCUCUUAUGAAAAUUAAUUUUGAGAACAGAGAGCUCCUCAAAUGCGCAUAAAAACAGCUUGAGGUUUCUUGCUUUAUCUAGAUCAUUAUCCAUAAAAAGAAUAGUGUCAUCCGCGUAUUGUACAAUAGACAUACCUUCUUCUACUAAAUGUGGAAUAACACCACUAAUUUGGUCAGCCACCUUAGCCCUCUGAACAAGGAUAGCUUUACUCGAAGUGAUGGGCGCUCCCAGUAUCGCGGUAAAGUAGAGGAUCACUGCAAUGGCCUUGCCUUACUCGAAGAUUAUUUGGAGAAUUAUUAUGUGGUUAACCCGGCAACGAGGUAGUGGGAUUCUUUGCCGCCGCACCGAUCCAGGUCGAAGUCCAAGGUUAGGGAUGCCGACUUCAGAUACCAAGAGUACCUCGUGUUUGAUCCCACGAUAUCACCCCACUAUGGCACUAUCAGGUGUUUGUGAUCCCAAAAUCUAGGCACAAAACGGAGCCUGGAGAUUUUGGUUAUGGCAGAACGUUGGAUGAAUUAGACCCUGUUAUGGAGAAAUCUGAAUGGCUGCCAUCUGUGUGCGCUUUGCACGUUUUCUCCUCGAGGUCGGGCCGUUGGGAGGAGAGGUCUUUUAUUCGAGAUGGGGAGGCUGCAGGCACCAUUGCUGAUAUGCGGCAGCAUUCGGAGUGGUAUUAUGACAAGCAUUAUGUUGUACUGCCGGGGUGCACUUUAUGUGCACUGCAAAACUGAUUUCGUAAUGAGGUACCUAUAAUCACUUACACAACAUUUUUUUAUAUUAGUUCAUCAAUGAUAAUAUUUACCACUUAUAUGAUUUAUUAACAAUUUGUUGUGCAGGAUCUCUUUGUCAAAUGACAAGUACCAAGUAAUUAAACCACCGAUACAUGGUGAACUGGGCGAGCAGUACUACAGAAAACCUUAUACACAGAACUUUAGCAGUAGCGCGUUGCUACCUCUUAAGCACUGCGAUGGUUUUCCCUUGAAAAGGAAAGGGUGAUGCAGUAGAGUAGCGUAAGUAUUUGCCUCAGUUUUUGAGAACCAAGGUAUCAAUCCAGUAGGAGGCCACGCACGAGUCCCUCGCACCUACACAAACAAAUAAAUCCUCGCAACCAAUGCGAUAAGGGGUUGUCAAUCCCUACACGGUCACUUACGAGAGUGAGAUCUGAUAGAUAUGAUAAGAAAAUAUUUUUGGAAUUUUUAUGAUAAAGAUGCAAAGUAAAAUAGAAGGCAACAAAAAUAACUAAGUGUUGGAAGAUUAAUAUGAUGGAAAAUAGACCGCGGGGCCAUAGGUUUCACUAGUGGCUUCUCUCAAGAGCAUAAGUAUUACGGUGGGUGCAAAUUACUGUUGAGCAAUUGACAGAAUUGAGCAAAGUUAUGAGAAUAUCUAGGUAUGAUCAUGUAUAUAGGCAUCACGUCUGAGACAAGUAGACCGACUCCUACCUGCAUCUACUACUAUUACUCCACACAUCGACCGCUAUCCAUCAUGCAUCUAGAGUAUUAAGUUCAUAAGAACAGAGUAACGCUUUAAGCAAGAUGACAUGAUGUAGAGGGAUAAACUCAUGCAAUAUGAUAUAAACCCCAUCUUGCUGUCCUCGAUGGCAACAAUACUAUACGUGCCUUGCUGCCCCUAUUGUCACUUGGAAAGGACACCUCAAGAUUGCCUCCGGUGGUGUACCGGGAUAUGCAAUGAAUCAAGAGUGACAUGUAUGAAAAAUUAUGAACGAUAUCUUUUGUGGGGAACGUUGCAGAAAACAAAAAAUUUCCUACGGUUUCACCAAGAUCCAUCUAGGAGUUCAUCUAGCAACGAGUGAUCGGAUUGCAUCUACAUACCUUUGUAGAUCACGCGCGGAAGCGUUCAAAGAACGGGGAUAAGGAAGGCGUACUCGACGUGAUCCAAAUCACCGGAGAUCCUAGCGCCGAACGGACGGCACCUCCGCGUUCAACACACGUACGGUCAGCGUAACAUCUCCUUCUUCUUGAUCCAGCAAGGGGGAAGGAGAGGUUGAGGAAGAUGGCUCCAGCAGCAGCACGACGGCGUGGUGGUGAUGGAGCUGCAGUACUCCGGUAGGGCUUCGCUAAGCACUAUGGAGGAGGAGGAUGUGUUGGAGAGGGAGAGGGAGGCACCAAAGGCGUGGGGUGUGAAGUCCUCCAUCUCCCCACUAUAUAUAGGAGGGCCAAGGCGGGGCGCCGGCCCUAGGAGAUCCAAUCUCCUGGGGGGUGCGGCCAAGGGGAGGAAUCCCUCCUCCCCAAGGCACCUAGGAGGUGCCUUCCCCCUUUGGGACUCUUCCCUUCUUGAACCCUAGGCACAUGGGCCUCUUGGGGCUGGUGCCCUUGGACCAUAUAGGCCAAGGCGCACCCCCUACAGCCCAUGUGGCCCCCCGGGGCAGGUGGCCCCACCCGGUGGACCCCCGGGACCCUUCCGGUGGUCCUGGUACAAUACCGGUGACCCCGAAACUUGUCCCGAUGCCCGAAAUAGUACUUCCUAUAUAUAAUUCUUUACCUCCGGACCAUUCCGGAACUCCUCGUGACGUCCAGGAUCUCAUCUGGGACUCUGAACAACAUUCGGGUUACUGCAUAUACAUAUCCCUACAACCCUAGCGUCACCGAACCUUAAGUGUGUAGACCCUACGGGUUCGGGAGACAUGUAGACAUGACCGAGAUCGCUCUCCGGUCAAUAACCAACAACGGGAUCUGGAUACCCAUGUUGGCUCCCACGUGCUCCUCGAUGAUCUCAUCGGAUGAACCACGAUGUCGAGGAUUCAAUCAAUCCCGUAUACAAUUCCCUUUGUAAAUCGGUAUCCUACUUGCCCGAGAUUCGAUCGUCGGUAUCCCAAUACCUCGUUCAAUCUCGUUACCGGCAAGUCACUUUACUCGUACCGUAAUGCAUGAUCCCGUGACCAGACACUUGGUAACUUUGAGCUCAUUAUGAUGAUGCAUUACUGAGUGGGCGCAGUGAUACCUCUCCGUCAUACGGAGUGACAAAUCCCAGUCUUGAUCCGUGUCAACCCAACAGACACUUUCGGAGAUACACGUAGUAUACCUUUAUAGUCACCCAGUUACGUUGUGACGUUUGGUACACCCAAAGCACUCCUACGGUAUCCGGGAGUUACACGAUCUCAUGGUCUAAGGAAAGGAUACUUGACAUUGGAAAACUCUAGCAAACAAACUAUACGAUCUUAUGCUAUGUUUAGGAUUGGGUCUUGUCCAUCACAUCAUUCUCCUAAUGAUGUGAUCUCGUUAUCAAUGACAUCCAAUGUCCAUAGUCAGGAAACCAUGACUAUCUGUUGAUCAACGAGCUAGUCAACUAGAGGCUUACUAGGGACAUGUUGGUGUUUAUUAUUCACACAUGUAUUACGAUUUCCGGAUAACACAAUUAUAGCAUGAAUAAAGACAAUUAUCAUGAACAAGGAAAUAUAAUAAUAAUGCUUUUAUUAUUGCCUCUAGGGCAUAUUUCCAACAGUCUCCCACUUGCACUAGAGUCAAUAAUCUGGUUACAUGUGAUGAAUCGAACACCCAUGGAAUUCUGGUGUUGAUCAUGUUUUGCUCUAGGGAGAGGUUAAUCAACGGAUCUGCUAUAUUCAGGUCCGUAUGUACUUUACAAAUAUCUAUGUCUCCAUCUUGAACAUUUUCACGAAUGGAGUUGAAGCGAGGCUUGAUAUGCCUCGUCUUCUUGUGAAACCUGGGCUCCUUGGUAAGUGCAAUAGCUCCAGUGUUGUCACAGAAGAGUUUGAUUGGCCCCGACGCAUUGGGUAUGACUCCUAGGUCGGUGAUGAACUCCUUCACCCAAAUUGCUUCAUGUGCUGCCUCCGAGGCUGCCAUGUACUCCGCUUCACAUGUAGAUCCCGCCACGACGCUCUUCUUGCAACUGCACCAGCUUACUGCCCCACCAUUCAAAAUAUACACGUAUCCGGUUUGUGACUUAGAGUCAUCCAGAUCUGUGUCGAAGCUAGCGUCGACGUAACCCUUUACGACGAGCUCUUCGUCACCUCCAUAGACGAGAAACAUUUCCUUACUCCUUUUCAGGUACUUCAGGAUAUUCUUGACCGCUGUCCAGUGUUCCUUGCCGGGAUUACUUUGGUACCUUCCUACCAAACUUACGACAAGGUUUACAUCAGGUCUGGUACACAGCAUGGCAUACAUAAUAGAACCUAUGGCUGAGGCAUAGGGGAUGACACUCAUCUCUUCUAUAUCUUCUGCCGUGGUCGGACAUUGAGCUGAGCUCAAUUUCACACCUUGCAACACAGGCAAGAACCCCUUCUUAGACUGAUCCAUAUUGAACUUCUUCAAUAACUUAUCAAGGUAUGUGCUUUGUGAAAGACCUAUGAGGCGUCUUGAUCUAUCUCUGUAGAUCUUGAUGCCUAAUAUAUAAGCAGCUUCUCCAAGGUCCUUCAUUGAAAAACUCUUAUUCAAGUAGGCCUUUAUGCUGUCCAAGAGUUCUAUAUCAUUUCCCAUCAAAAGUAUGUCAUCUACAUAUAAUAUGAGAAAUGCUACAGAGCUCCCACUCACUUUCUUGUAAACGCAGGAUUCUCCAUAAGUCUGUGUAAACCCAAACGCUUUGAUCAUCUCAUCAAAGCAAAUGUUCCAACUCCGAGAUGCUUGCCCCAGCCCAUAAAUCGAGCGUUGGAGCUUGCACACCUUGUUAGCAUUCUUAGGAUCGACAAAACCUUCCGGCUGCAUCAUAUACAAUUCUUCCUUAAGGAAACCAUUAAGGAAUGCCGUUUUGACGUCCAUUUGCCAUAUCUCAUAAUCAUAGAAUGCGGCAAUUGCUAACAUGAUUUGGACGGACUUUAGCUUCGCUACCGGUGAGAAAGUCUCAUCGUAGUCAACCCCUUGAACUUGUCGAUAACCCUUAGCGACAAGCCGAGCUUUAUAGAUGGUCACAUUACCAUCCGCGUCUGUCUUCUUCUUAAAGAUCCAUUUAUUUUCUAUGGCUCGCCGCUCAACAGGCAAGUCAAUCAAAGUCCAUACUUCGUUUUCAUACAUGGAUUCUAUCUCGAAUUUCAUGGCUUCCAGCCAUCUGUCGGAAUCCGGGCCCGCCAUCGCUUCUUCAUAGUUCGAAGGUUCACUGUUGUCCAACAACAUGAUUUCCAAGACAGGGUUGCCGUACCACUCUGGUGCGGAACGUCUCCUUGUGGACCUUCGAAUUUUAGUAGGAGCUUGAUCAGAAGUAUCUUGAUCAUUAUCAUUAACUUCCUCUCUAGUCGGUGCAGGCACCUCGGGAACAUUUUCUUGAGUUGCGCCAUUUUCUGGUUCAAGAGGUAAUACUUCAUCAAGGUCUACUUUCCUCCCACUUACUUCUUUCGAGAGAAACUCCUUCUCUAGAAAGGAUCCAUUCUUGGCAACAAAGAUCUUGCCUUCGGAUCUGAGGUAGAAGGUAUACCCAAUAGUUUCUUUAGGGUAUCCUAUGAAGACGCAUUUUUCCGACUUGGGUUCGAGAUUUUCAGGUUGAAGUUUCUUGACAUAAGCAUCGCAUCCCCAAACUUUUAGAAACGACAGCUUAGGUUUCUUCCCAAACCAUAAUUCAUACGGUGUCGUCUCAACGGAUUUCGACGGAGCCCUAUUUAAAGUGAAUGCGGCAGUCUCUAAAGCAUAGCCCCAAAAAGAUAGCGGUAAAUCGGCAAGAAACAUCAUCGAUCGCACCAUAUCUAAUAGAGUGCGAUUACGACGUUCGGACACAUCAUUACUCUGAGGUGUUCCAGGCGGCGUGAGUUGUGAAACUAUUCCACAUUUUCUUAAGUGCGUGCCAAACUCGUGACUCAAGUAUUCUCCUCCGCGAUCUGAUCGCAGGAACUUGAUUUUCCUGUCACGUUGAUUCUCAACCUCACUCUGAAAUUACUUGAACUUUUCAAAGGUUUCAGACUUGCGUUUCAUUAAGUAGACAUACCCAUAUCUACUCAAGUCAUCAGUGAGGGUGAGAACAUAACGAUAGCAACCGCGAGCCUCAACACUCAUUGGACCGCACACAUCAGUAUGUAUGAUUUCCAAUAAGUUGGUUGCUCGCUCCAUUGUUCCUGAGAACGGAGUCUUGGUCAUUUUACCCAUGAGGCAUGGUUCGCACGUGUCAAAUGAUUCGUAAUCAAGAGACUCCAAAAGUCCAUCAGCAUGGAGCUUCUUCAUGCGUUUGACACAUAUGUGACCAAGGCGGCAGUGCCACAAGUAUGUGGGACUAUCAUUAUCAAUCUUACAUCUUUUGGUACUCACACUAUGAACAUGUGUAGCAUUACGCUCGAGAUUCAUUAAGAAUAAACCAUUCACCAUCGAAGCAUGACCAUAAAACAUAUCUCUCAUAUAAAUAGAACAACCAUUAUUCUUGGAUUUAAAUGAGUAGCCAUCUCGAAUUAAACGAGAUCCUGAUACAAUGUUCAUGCUCAAAGCUGGCACUAAAUAACAAUUAUUAAGGUUUAAAACUAAUCCCGAAGGUAAAUGUAGAGGUAGCGUGCCGACGGCCAUCACAUUGACCUUGGAACCAUUCCCGACGCGCAUCAUCACCUCGUCCUUUGCCAGUCUCCGCUUAUUCCGCAGCUCCUAUUUUGAGUUACAAAUGUGAGCAACCGCACCGGUAUCAAAUACCCAGGAGCUACUACGAGUACUGGUAAGGUACACAUCAAUUACAUGUAUAUCACAUAUACGUUUUGUUUUGCUGGCCUUCUUGUCCGCUAAGUAUUUGGGGCAGUUCCGCUUCCAGUGACCACUCUCCUUGCAAUAAAAGCACUCAGUCUCGGGCUUGGGUCCAUUCUUUGUCUUCUUCCCGGCAGCUUGCUUUCCGGGCGCGGCAACUCCCUUGUCGUCCUUCUUGAAGGUUUUCUUACCCUUGCCUUUCUUGAACUUAGUGGUUUUAUUCACCAUCAACACUUGAUGUUCCUUUUUGACUUCUACCUCUGCUGAUUUCAGCAUUGCAAAUACUUCAGGAAUGGUCUUUUCCAUCCCCUGCAUAUUAAAGUUCAUCACAAAGCUCUUGUAGCUUGGUGGAAGCGACUGAAGGAUUCUGUCAAUGACCGCGUCAUUCGGGAGAUUAACUCCCAGCUGAGUCAAGCGGUUAUGCAACCCAGACAUAGUGAGUAUGUGCUCACUGACAGAACUGUUUUCCUCCAUCUUAUAGCUGAAGAACUUGUCGGAGACUUGAUAUCUCUCGACCCGGGCAUGAGCUUGGAAAACCAUUUUCAGCUCUUCGAACAUCUCAUAUGCUCCGUGUCUCUCAAAACGCUUUUGGAGCCCCGGCUCUAAGCUGUAAAGCAUGCCGCACUGAACGAGGGAGUAGUCAUCGGUAUGUGCCUGCCAAGCGUUCAUAACGUCUUGUUCUGCAGGGAGAAUAGGUGCGUCACCUAGCGGUGCUUGUAGGACAUAAUCUUUCUUGUCAGCUAUGAGGAUGAUCCUCAGGUACCGGACCCAGUCCGUGUAGUUGCUGCCAUCGUCUUUCAGCUUGGUUUUCUCUAGGAACACGUUGAAGUUGAGGACUACGUUGGCCAUUUGAUCUACAAGACAUAUUUGUAAAAUUUCAGACUCAGUUCAUGAUAAUUAAGUUCAUCUAAUCAAAUUAUUCAAUGAACUCCCACUUAGAUAAACAUCCCUCCUGUAAUCUAAGUAUAACAUGAUCCGAGUUAACUAGGCCGUGUCCGAUCGUCACGUGAGACGGACUAGUCAACAUCGGUGAACAUCUUCAUGUUGAUCGUAUCUUCUAUAUGACUCAUGCUCGACCUUUCGGUCUUCUGUGUUCCGAGGCCAUGUCUGUACAUGCUAGGCUCGUCAAGUCAACCUAAGUGUUUGCAUGUGUAAAUCUGGCUUACACCCGUUGUAUGUGAACGUUAGAAUCUAACACCCGAUCAUCACGUGGUGCUUCGAAACAACGAACUGUCGCAACGGUGCACAGUUAGGGGGAACACUUUCUUGAAAUUAUUAUGAGGGAUCAUAUUAUUUACUACCGUCGUUCUAAGUAAACAAGAUGCAUAAAUAUGAUGAACAUCACAUGCAAUCAAAUAAUAAUAGUGACAUGAUAUGGCUAAUAUCACAUAGCUCCUUUGAUCUCCAUCUUGGGGCUCCAUGAUCAUCUUGUCACUGGCAUGACACCAUGAUCUCCAUCAUCAUGAUCUCCAUCAUCGUGUCUCCAUGAAGUUGCUCGCCAACUAUUACUUCUACUACUAUGGCUAACGCGUUUAGCAAUAAAGCAAAGUAAUUUACAUGGCGUUUCUCAAUGACACGCAGGUCAUACAAAAAAUAAAGACAACUCCUAUGGCUCCUGCCGGUUGUCAUACUCAUCGACAUGCAAGUCGUGAUUCCUAUUACAAUAGCAUGAACAUCUCAUACAUCACAUAUAUAUCAUUCAUCAUUCAUCACAACUUUGGCCAUAUCAUAUCACAAAGCACUUGCUGCAAAAACAAGUUAGACGUCUUCUAAUUGUUGUUGCAAGUUUUACGUGGCUGAAGUAGGGUUCUAGCAAGAACGUUUUCUUACCUACGUGAAAGACACAACGUGAUUUGUCAACUUCUAUUUACCCUUCAUAAGGACCCUUUUCAUCGAAUCCGCUCCAAUUAAAGUGGGAGAGACAGACACCCGCCAGCCACCUUAUGCAACUAGUGCAUGUUAGUCGGUGGAACCGGUCUCACGUAAGCGUACGUGUAUGGUUGGUCCGGGCCGCUUCAUCCCACAAUACCGUUGAAGCAAGAUAAGACUAGUAGCGGCAAGAAAGUUGACAACAUCAACGCCCACAACAAAUUGUGUUCUACUCGUGCAAGAGAACUACGCAAAGACCUAGCUCAUGAUGCCACUGUUGGGGAACGUUGCAGAAAACAAAAAUUUUCCUACGGUUUCACCAAGAUCCAUCUAGGAGUUCAUCUAGCAACGAGUGAUCGGAUUGCAUCUACAUACCUUUGUAGAACACGCGCGGGAGCGUUCAAAGAACGGGGAUGAGGAAGGCGUACUCGACGUGAUCCAAAUCACCGGAGAUCCUAGCACCGAACGGACGGCACCUCCACGUUCAACACACGUACGGUCAGCGUAACAUCUCCUUCUUCUUGAUCCAGCAAGAGGGAAGGAGAGGUUGAGGAAGAUGGCUCCAGCAGCAGCACGACGGCGUGGUGGUGAUGGAGCUGCAGUACUCCGGCAGGGCUUCGCUAAGCACUAUAGAGGAGGAGGAUGUGUUGGCGAGGGAGAGGGAGGCACCAAAGGCAUGGGGUGUGAAGUCCUCCAUCUCCCCACUAUAUAUAGGAGGGCCAAGGGGGGGGCGCCAGCCCUAGGAGAUCCAAUCUCCUAGGGGGGUGCAGCCAAGGGGAGGAAUCCCUCCUCCCCAAGGCACCUAGGAGGUGCCUUCCCCCUUUGGGACUCUUCCCUUCUUGAACCCUAGGCGCAUGGGCCUCUUGGGGCUGGUGCCCUUGGCCCAUAUAGGCCAAGGCGCACCCCCUACAGCCCAUGUGCCCCCCGGGGCAGGUGGACCCACCCGGUGGACCCCCGGGACCCUUCCGGUGGUCCCGGUACAAUACCGGUGACCCCGAAACUUGUCCCGAUGCCUGAAAUAGUACUUCCUAUAUAUAAUUCUUUACCUCCGGACCAUUCCGGAACUCCUCGUGACGUCCGGGAUCUCAUCCGGGACUCCGAACAACAUUCGGGUUACUACAUAUACAUAUCCCUACAACCCUAGCAUCACCGAACCUUAAGUGUGUAGACCCUACGGGUUCGGGAGACAUGUAGACAUGACCGAGAUCGCUCUCCGGUCAAUAACCAACAGCGGGAUCUGGAUACCCAUGUUGGCUCCCACAUGCUCCUCGAUGAUCUCAUCGGAUGAACCACGAUGUCGAGGAUUCAAUCAAUCCCGUAUACAAUUCCCUUUGUAAAUCGGUAUGCUACUUGCCCGAGAUUCGAUCGUCGCUAUCCCAAUACCUCGUUCAAUCUCGUUACCGGCAAGUCACUUUACUCGUACCGUAACGCAUGAUCCCAUGACCAGACACUUGGUCACUUUGAGCUCAUUAUGAUGAUGCAUUACCGAGUGGGCCCAGUGAUACCUCUCCGUCAUACGGAGUGACAAAUCCCAGUCUUGAUCCGUGUCAACCCAACAGACACUUUCGGAGAUACCCGUAGUAUACCUUUAUAGUCACCCAGUUAUGUUGUGACGUUUGGUACACCCAAAGCACUCCUACGGUAUCCGGGAGUUACACGAUCUCAUGGUCUAAGGAAAGGAUACUUGACAUUGGAAAACUCUAGCAAACGAACUAUACGAUCUUAUGCUAUGUUUAGGAUUGGGUCUUAUCCAUCACAUCAUUCUCCUAAUGAUGUGAUCUCGUUAUCAAUGACAUCCAAUGUCCAUAGUCAGGAAACCAUGACUAUCUGUUGAUCAACGAGCUAGUCAACUAGAGGCUUACUAGGGACAUGUUGGUGUCUAUUAUUCACACAUGUAUUAUGAUUUCCGGAUAACACAAUUAUAGCAUGAAUAAAGACAAUUAUCAUGAACAAGGAAAUAUAAUAAUAAUGCUUUUAUUAUUGCCUCUAGGGCAUAUUUCCAACAAGCUUUGCCACAAAUACAAUGUCAACUACAUGAUCAUGCGAAGCAAUAUGACAAUGAUGGAGCGUGUCAUAGUGAACAAAAUGAUGGUAUGUUGCAUGGCAAUAUAUCUCGGAAUGGCUAUGGAAAUGCCAUGAUAAGUAGGUAUGGUGGCUGUUUUUAGGAAGGUAUAUGGUGGGUGUAUGAUACCGGCGAAAAGUGUGCGGUAUUAGAGAGGCUAGCAAUGGUGGAAGGAGAAAAAGUGCGUAUGAUCCAUGGACUCAACAUUAGUCAUAAAGAACUCAUAUACUUAUUGCAAAAAUCUACAAGUUAUCAAAGAAAAGUAUUACGGGCAUGCUCCUAGGGGGAUAGAUUGGUAGGAAAAGACCAUCGCUCGUCCCCGACCGCCACUCAUAAGGAAGACAAUCAAUAAAUAAAUCAUGCUCCGACUUCAUCACAUAACGGUUCACCAUAUGUGCAUGCUUAAGGGAAUCACAAAAUUUAACACAAGUAUUUCUCAAAUUCAAAACGACUCAACUAGCAUGACUCUAAUAUCACCAUCUUCAUAUCUCAAAACAAUUAUCAAGCAUCAAACUUCUCAUAGUAUUCAACACACUCAUAAGAUUUUUUUUUUACUAAUCUUGAAUGCCUAUUAUUGUUAAAGCAAACAACCAUGCUGUUUUGUAGGACUCUCGAAAUAAUCUAAGUGAAGCAUGAGAGAACAAUAGUUUCUAUAACACAAAUCCACUACCAUGCUCUAAAAGAUAUAAGGGAAGUACUAGAGCAAAAACUAUAUAACUCAAAAGAUAUAAGUGAAGCACAUAGAGUAUUCUAAUAAUUUCCGAAUCAAGUGUGUCUCUCUCAAAAGGUGUGUACAGCAAGGAUGAUUGUGGUGAACUAAACAGCAAAGACUCAAAUAAUACAAGUAGCUCCAAGCAAAACACAUAUCAUGUGGUGAAUAAAAAUAUAGCUCCAAGUAAUGUUACCGAUGAAAGUAGACGAAAGAGGGGAUGCCUUCCGGGGCAUCCCCAAGCUUUGGCUUUUAGGUGUCCUUUGAUUAUCUUGGGGGUUACAUGGGCAUCCCCAAGCUUAGGCUCUUGCACUCCUUGUUCUCUAAUCCAUCAAAUCUUUCACCCAAAACAUGUAAACUUCACAACAUAAAACUCAACAGAAAACCUCGUGAGCUCUGUUAGCGAAAGAAAACAAAAGACCACUUCAAGGUACUGUAAUGAAAUCAUUCUUUAUUUAUAUUGGUGUUAAACCUACUGUAUUCCAACUUCUCUAUGGUUUAUAAACUAUUUUACUAUCCAUAGAUUCAUCAAAACAAGCAAACAACACACGAAAAACAGAAUCUGUCAAAAACAGAAUAGUCUGUAGUAAUCUGUAGCUAACGCAAACUUCUGGAACUCCAAAAAUUCAGACAAAAUAGGACGACCUAGACAAUUUUUUAUUGAUCAGCAGCAAUUGGAAUCAAUAUUUUAUCACCUUCUGGUGAUUUUUAACAAUUAUUUUUGUGAAAGAAUUUACAGCAAGAUCAAGUAACUAUCACCCAAGAAGAUCCUAUAGGUUAAACUUGGCACAAACACUAAUUAAAACAUAAAAACAAAUCUAACCAGAGGCUAGAUCAAAGAUUUAUUCCUAAACAGAAGCAAAAAGCAAAAAACUAAAAAUAAAAUUGGGUUGCCUCCCAACAAGCGCUAUCGUUUAACGCCCCUAGCUAGGCAUAAAAGCAAGGAUAGAUCUAGGUAUUGCCAUCUUUGGUAGGCAAUCCAUAAGUGGCUCUCAUGAUAGAUUCAUAAGGUAAUUUUAUUUUCUUUCAAGGAAAGUGUUCCAUGCCUUUCCUUAACACAAAUUGGAAUCUAAUAUUUCCUUCCUUCAUAUCAAUAAUUGCACCGAUUGUUCUAAGGAAAGGUAUACCAAGAAUAAUAGGACAUGAAGGAUUGCAAUCGAUAUCAAGAACAAUAAAAUCUACGGGCACAUAGUUCCUAUUUGCAACAAUAAGAACAUCAUUAAUUCUUCCCAUAGGUUUCGUAAUGGUGGAAUCCGCAAGGUGCAAGUUUAAAGAGCAAUCAUCAAAAUCACGGAAACCUAACAAAUCGCACAAAGUCUUUGGAAUCGUGGAAACACUAGCACGCAAAUCACACAAAGCAUAGCAUUCAUGAUAUUUAAUUUUAAUUUUAAUAGUAGGUUCCCACUCAUUAUAAAGUUUUCUAGGGAUAGAAACUUCCAACUCAAGUUUUUCUUCAUAAGAUUGCAUCAAAGCAUCAAUGAUAUGUUUGGUAAAGGCAUUAUUUUGACUAUAAUCAUGAGGAGAAUUUAGCACGGAUUGCAACAAGUAAAUACAAUCUAUCAAAGAGCAAUUAUCAUAAUUAAAUUCCUUGAAAUCCAAAAUAGUGGGUUCAUUAAUAUCUAAUGUUUUGAUCUCUUCAAUCCCACUUUUAUCAAUUUUAGCAUCAAGAUCGAAGAACUCUGAAUUUCUGGAACGCCUUCUAGGUAAAGGUGGAUCAUAUUCAGUCCCAUCAUUAUCAAGAUUCAUAUUGCAAAACAAAGAUUUAAUAGGGGACACAUCAAUAACCUUUAGAUCUUCAUCUUUAUUUUCAUAGAAACUAGAAGGACACGCUUUCACAAAACAAUCUUUCUAAGCACGCAUCCUAGCGGUCCUUUCUUUGCACUCAUUAAUGGAAAUUCUCAUGGCUUUGAGAGACUCAUUGAUAUCAUGCUUAGGUGGAAUAGAUCUAAGUUUCAAAGAAUCAACAUCAAGAGAAAUUCUAUCAACGUUCCUAGCCAAUUCAUCAACUUUAAGCAAUUUUUCUUCAAGCAAAGCAUUGAAAUUCUUUUGUGAAUUCAUAAAUUCUUUAACACUAGUCUCAAAUUCAGAAGGCAUCUUAUUAAAAUUUCCAUAAGAAUUGUUGUAGGAAUUACCAUAAUUAUUAGAGGAAUUACUAGGAUACGGCCUAGGAUUAAAGUUUCUUUUAUACGCGUUGUUACCAAAAUUAUUCCUACCAACAAAAUUCACAUCCAUAGAUUCAUUAUUAUUCUCAAUCAAAGUAGACAAAGGCAUAUCAUUAGGAUCAGAAGAAACACUCGUAGUAGCAAAUAAUUUCAUACGUUCAUCCAUCUUUCCACUCAAAACAUUAAUUUCUUCUAUCGCAUGCCCUUUUUUAUUAGUAGAUCUUUCAGUGUGCCAUUGAGAAUAAUUAACCAUAAUAUUAUCUAGGAGUUUAGUAGCUUCUCCUAAAGUGAUUUCCAUAAAAGUGCCUCCCGCGGCCGAAUCUAAAAGGUUUCUAGAAGAAAAAUUCAAUCCGGCAUAAAUUUUUUGUAUAAUCAUCCACAAAUUCAAACCAUGCGUAGGGUAAUUACGUAUCAUUAGUUUCAUCCUCUCCCAAGAUUGUGCAACAUGUUCAUGAUCAAGUUGCUUAAAAUUCAUAAUAUUGUUUCUAAGAGAGGUGAUCUUAGCGGAAGGAAAAUAUUUAGAGAUAAAAGCAUCUUUGCACUUAUUCCAAGAAUCAAUACUAUUUUUAGGCAAAUACGAAAAACAAGCUUUACCACGAUCUCUAAGUGAAAAAGGGAAUAGCUUCAAUUUAACAAUAUCAUUAUCCACAUCUUUCUUCUUUUGCAUAUCACACAAAUCAACGAAGCUAUUUAGAUGGGUAGCGGCAUCUUCACUAGGAAGGCCGGCGAAUUGAUCUUUCAUGACAAGAUUCAAUAAAGCAGUAUUGAUUUCACAAGAUUCAGUAUCGGUAAGAGCAGCAAUCGGAGUGCUAAGGAAAUCAUUGUUGUUGGUAUUGGUAAAGUCACACAAUUUGGUAUUAUCUUGAGCCAUUGUGACAAGCAAGCAAUCCAACACACGAGCAAACAAAAAGCAAGCAAAAAGGAGGAGAACAGAAAAGAGGGGGCGAAUAAAACGGCAAGGGUGAAGUGGGGGAGAGGAAAACGAGAGGCAAAUGGAAAAUAAUGUAAUGCGGGAGAUAAGGGUUUGUGAUGGGUACUUGGUAUGUUUACUUUUGCGUAGACUCCCCGGCAACGGCGCCAGAAAUCCUUCUUGCUACCUCUUGAGCACCGCGUUGAUUUUCCCUUGAAGAGGGAAGGGUGAUGCAGUAAAGUAGCAUAAGUAUUUCCCUCAGUUUUUGAGAACCAAGGUAUCAAUCCAGUAGGAGGCCACGCACGAGUCCCUUGCACCUACACAAACAAAUAAAUCCUCACAACCAACGCGAUAAGGGGUUGUCAAUCCCUACACGGUCCCUUACGAGAGUUAGAUCUGAUAGAUAUGAUAAGAUAAUAUUUUUGGUAUUUUUAUGAUAAAGAUGCAAAGUAAAAUAGAAGGCAACAAAAAUAACUAAGUGUUGGAAGAUUAAUAUGAUGGAAAAUAGACCCGGGGGCCAUAGGUUUCACUAGUGGCUUCUCUCAAGAGCAUAAGUAUUACGGUGGGUGAACAAAUUACUGUUGAGCAAUUGACAGAAUUGAGCAUAGUUAUGAGAAUAUCUAGGUAUGAUCAUGUAUAUAGGCAUCACGUCCGAGACAAGUAGACCGAGUCCUGCCUGCAUCUACUACUAUUACUCCACACAUCGACCGCUAUCCAACAUGCAUCUAGAGUAUUAAGUUCAUAAGAACAGAGUAACGCUUUAAGCAAGAUGACAUGAUGUAGAGGGAUAAACUCAUGCAAUAUGAUAUAAACCCCAUCUUGUUAUCCUCGAUGGAAACAAUACUAUACGUGCCUUGCUGCCCCUACUGUCACUGGGAAAGGACACCGCAAGAUUGAACCCAAAGCUAAGCACUUCUCCCAUUGCAAGAAAGAUCAAUCUAGUAGGCCAAACCAAACUGAUAAUUCGAUGAGACUUGGAAAGAUAACCAAUCAUACAUAAAAGAAUUCAAAGAAGAUUCAAACAUUGUUCAUAGAUAAACUUGACCGUAAACCCACAAUUCAUCGGUCUCAACAAACACACCGCAAAAGAAGAUUACAUCGAAUAGACCUCCACGAGAGAGGGGGAGAACAUUGUAUUGAGAUCCAAAAAGAGAGAAGAAGCCAUCUAGCUAAUAACUAGGGACCCGAAGGUCUGAGGUAAACUACUCACACAUCAUCGGAGAGGCUAUGGUGUUGAUGUAGAAGCCCUCCGUGAUCAGUGCCCCCUCCGGCGGAGCUCCGGAACAGGCCCCAAGAUGGGAUCUCACGGGUACAGAAGGUUGCGGCGGUGGAAGGAGUUUGGGGGUACGUAGGUAUGUAGGAGGAAGGAGUACAUCGGUGGAGCAACAGGGGGCCCACGAGGGUGGAGGGCGCGCCCCCUACCUCGUGCCCUCCUGGUUGAUGUCUUGACGUAGGGUCCAAGUCCUCUGGAUCACGUUCGUUCCGAAAAUCACGUUCCCAAAGGUUUGAUUCCGUUUGGACUCCGUUUGAUAUUCUUUUUCUGUGAAACUCUGAAAUAGGCAAAAAACAACAAUUCUGGGCUGGGCCUCUGGUUAAUACGUUAGUUCCAAAAAUAAUAUAAAAGUGUAUAAUAAAGCCCAAUAAUGUCCAAAACAGAAUAUAAUAUAGCGUGGAGCAAUAAAAAUUAUAGAUACGUUGGAGACGUAUCAAGCAUCCCCAAGCUUAAUUCUCGCUCAUCCUCGAGUAGGUAAAUGAUAAAAAUAGAAUUUUUGAUGUGGAAUGCUACUUGGCAUAAUUUCAAUGUAAUUCUUCUUAAUUGUGGUUUGACUAUUCAGAUCCGAAAGAUUCAAGACAAAAGUUUAAUAUUGACAUGAAAAAUAAUAAUACUUCAAGCAUACUAACUAAGCAAUUAUGUCUUCUCAAAAUAACAUGGCCAAAGAAAGUUAUCCCUACAAAAUCAUAUAGUCUGGCUAUGCUCUAUCUUCACCACACAAAAUAUUUAAAUCAUGCACAACCCCGAUGACAAGCCAAGCAAUUGUUUCAUACUUUUGAUGUUCUCAAACUUUUUCCAAUCUUCACGCAAUACAUGAGCGUGAGCCAUGGACAUAGCACUAUUUGUGGAAUAGAAUGGUGGUUGUGAAGAAGACAAAAAGGAGAAGAUAGUCUCCCAUUAACUAGGCGUAUCAACGGGCUAUGGAGAUGCCCAUUGAUGUCUACUACACAACCUUCUUCUUGUAGACGUUGUUGGGCCUCCAAGUGCAGAGGUUUGUAGGACAGUAGCAAAUUUCCCUCAAGUGGAUGACCUAAGGUUUAUCAAUCCGUAGGAGGCGUAGGAUGAAGAUGGUCUCUCUCAAGCAACCCUGCAACCAAAUAACAAAGAGUCUCUUGUGUCCCCAACACACCCAAUACAAUGGUAAAUUGUAUAGGUGCACUAGUUCGGCGAAGAGAUGGUGAUACAAGUGCAAUAUGGAUGGUAGAUACAGGUUUUUGUAAUCUGAAAAUAUAAAAACAGCAAGGUAACUAAUGAUAAAAGCGAGCGUAAAUGGUAUUGCAAUGCUAGGAAACAAGGCCUAGGGUUCAUACUUUCACUAGUGCAAGUUCUCUCAACAAUAAUAACAUAAUUGGAUCAUAUAACUAUCCCUCAACAUGCAACAAAGAGUCACUCCAAAGUCACUAAUAACGGAGAACAAACAAAGAGAUUAUUUAGGGUACGAAACAACCUCAAAGUUAUUCUUUCGCAUCGAUCUAUUCAAGAGCCCGUAGUAAAAUAACAUGAAGCUAUUCUUUCCGUUCGAUCUAUCAUAGAGUUCGUACUAGAAUAACACCUUAAUACACAAAUCAACCAAAACCCUAAUGUCACCUAGAUACUCCAAUGUCACCUCAAGUAUCCGUGGGUAUGAUUAUACGAUAUGCAUCACACAAUCUCAUAUUCAUCUAUUCAACCAACACAAAGUGCUUCAAAGAGUGCCCCAAAGUUUCUACCGGAGAGUCAAGACGAAAACGCGUGCCAACCCCUAUGCAUAGGUUCAUGGGCGGAACCCGCAAGUUGAUCACCAAAACAUACAUCAAGUGGAUCACGUGAUAUCCCACUGUCACCACAGAUAAGCACGGCAAGGCAUACAUCAAGUGUUCUCAAAUCCUUAAAGACUCAAUCCGAUAAGAUAACCUCAAAGGGAAAACUCAAUCCAUUACAAGAGAGAGUAGAGGGGGAGAAACAUCAUAAGAUCCAACUAUAAUAGCAAAGCUCGCGAUACAUCAAGAUCAUAUCACCUCAAGAACACGAGAGACAGAUCAAACACAUAGCUACUGGUACAUACCCUCAGCCCCGAGGGUGAACUACUCUCUCCUCAUCAUGGAGAGCACCAGGAUGAUGAACAUGGCCACCGGUGAGGGAUCCCCCCUCCGGCAGGGUGCCGAAACAGGGUCCCGAUUGGUUUUUCGUGGCUCUGGAGGUUUGCGGUGGCGGAACUCCCGAUCUAUUCUGUUCCUCGAUGGUUUUAGGGUAUAUGGAGAUAUAUAGGCGAAAGAAGUCGGUAAGGAGAGCCACGAGGGGCCCACGAGGGUGGAGGGCAUGCCCAGGGGGUGGGCGCACCCCCCUGCCUCAUGCCUCCCUCGUUUCUUUCCUGACGUGCACUCCAAGUCUCCUGUAUUGCUUUCUUUCCAAAAAUAACUUUUCCGAAGGUUUCAUUCCGUUUGGACUCCGUUUGAUAUUCCUUUUCCACGAAACACUGAAACAAGGGAAAAAACAGAAACUGGCACUGGGCUCUGGGUUAAUAGGUUAGUCCCAAAAGUAAUAUAAAAGUGCAUAGUAAAGCCCAAUAAACAUCCAAGAUGGAUAAUAUAAUAGCAUGAAUACUUCAUAAAUUAUAGAUACAUUGGAGACGUAUCACCCAUCAAUAGAUAUCAAUGUGUGUGAGUAGGGAUUGCCAUGCAACGAAUGCACUAGAGCUAUAAGUAUAUGAAAGCUCAACAAAAGAAACAAAGUGGGUGUGCAUCCAACUCGCUUGCUCACAAAGACCUAGGGCAUUUUGAGGAAGCCCAUCAUUGGAAUAUACAAGCCAAGUUCUAUAAUGAAAAAUUCCCACUAGUAUAUGAAAGUGAUAUCAUAGGAGACUCUCUAUCAUGAAGAUAAUGGUGCUACUUUGAAGCACAAGUGUGGUAAAAGGAUAGUAACAUUGUACCUUCUCUCUUUUUCUCUCAAAUAUUUUUUUGGGCCUUUUCUUUUUUUUAUGGCCUCUUUUUUCUUUUUAUUUAUUUAUUUCGUCCGGAGUCUCAUCCCGACUUGUGGGGGUAUCAUAGUCUCCAUCAUACUUUCCUCACUUGGGACAAUGCUCUAAAAAUGAUGAUCAUCACACUUUUAUUUACUUACAACUCAAUACUUAGAACAAAAUAUGACUCGAUGUGAAUGCCUCCGGCGGUGUACCGGGAUAUGCAAUGAAUCAAGAGUGACAUGUAUGAAAGAAUUAUGAACGGUGGCUUUGCCACAAAUACAAUGUCAACUACAUGAUCAUGCGAAGCAAUAUGACAAUGAUGGAGCGUGUCAUAGUAAACGAAACGAUGGUAAGUUGCAUGGCAAUAUAUCUCGGAAUGGCUAUGGAAAUGCCAUGAUAAGUAGGUAUGGUGGCUGUUUUGAGGAAGGUAUAUGGUGGAUGUAUGAUACCGGCGAAAAGUGCGCGGUAUUAGAGAGGCUAACAAUGGUGGAAGGAGAAAAAGUGCGUAUAAUCCAUGGACUCAACAUUAGUCAUAAAGAACUCAUAUACUUAUUGCAAAAAUCUACAAGUUAUUGAAGCAAAGUAGGGGGAUAGAUUGGUAGGAAAAGACCAUCGCUCGUCCCCGACCGCCACUCAUAAGGAAGACAAUCAAUAAAUAAAUCAUGCUCCGACUUCAUCACAUAACGGUUCACCAUAUGUGCAUGCUUAAGAGAAUCACAAACUUUGACACAAGUAUUUCUCAAAUUCAAAACUACUCAACUAGUAUGACUCUAAUAUCACCAUCUUCAUAUCUCAAAAUAAUUAUCAAGCAUCAAACUUAUCAUAGUAUUCAACACACUCAUAAGAAUUUUUUUUACUAAUCUUGAAUGCCUAUUAUUGUUAAAGCAAACUACCAUACUAUUUUGUAGGACUCUCAAAAUAAUCUAAGUGAAGCAUGAGAGAACAAUAGUUUCUAUAAAACAAAUCCACUACCAUGCUCUAAAAGAUAUAAGUGAAGUACUAGAGCAAAAACUAUAUAACUCAAAAGAUAUAAGUGAAGCACAUAGAGUAUUCUAAUAAUUUCCGAAUCAAGUGUGUCUCUCUCAAAAGGUGUGUAUAGCAAGGAUGACUGUGGUGAACUAAAAAGCAAAGACUUAAAUAAUACAUGACGCUCCAAGCAAAACACAUACCAUGUGGUGAAUAAAAAUAUAGCUCCAAGUAAAGUUACCAAUGGAAGUAGACGAAAGAGGGGAUGCCUUCCGGGGCAUCCCCAAGCUUUGGCUUUUAGGUGUCCUUAGAUUAUAUUGGGGGUGCCAUGGGCAUCCCCAAGCUUAGGCUCUUGCCACUCCUUGUUCCAUAAUCCAUCAAAUCUUUCACCCAAAACUUGAAAACUUCACAACACAAAACUCAGCAGAAAAUGUCAUGAGCUCCGUUAGAGAAAGAAACAAAAGACCACUUCAAGGUACUGUAAUGAAAUCAUUCUUUAUUUAUAUUGGUGUUAAACCUACUAUAUUCCAACUUCUCUAUGGUUUAUAAACUAUUUUACUAGCCAUAGAUUCAUCAAAACAAGCAAACAAUACACGAGGUGAUGUAGAAGCCCUCCGUGAUCGAUGCCCCCUCCGGCGGAGCUCCGGAACAGGCCCCAUGAUGGGAUCUCACGGGUACAGAAGGUUGCAGUGGUGGAAUUAUGUUUUUGGCUCCGUAUCUGGUAGUUUGGGGGUACGUAGGUAUAUAUAGGAGGAAGGAGUACGUCGGUGGAGCAACAGGGGGCCCACGAGGGUGGAGGGCACGCCCAGGGGGUAGGCGCGCCCCCUACCUCGUGCCGUCCUGGUUGAUGUCUUGACGUAGGGUCCAAGUCCUCUGGAUCACGUUCGUUCCGAAAAUCACGUUCCCGAAGGUUUCAUUCCGUUUGGACUCCGUCUGAUAUUCUUUUUCUGCGAAAUUCUGAAAUAGGCAAAAAACAUCAAUUCUGGACUAGGCCUCCGGUUAAUAGGUUAGUCCCAAAAAUAAUAUAAAAGUGUAUAAUAAAGCCCAAUAAUGUCCAAAACAGAAUAUAAUAUAGCAUGGAGCAAUAAAAAAUUAUAGAUACAUGGGAGACGUAUCAUGCGUGUUAAAAAACACGCUGGUGCUAAGUAGCAGUAGAGCGCUGAGGUAAACGGCGCUACAGAUACAAUUGUAGCAGUAGCGCGCCUGAACAUAAAAACGCUACUACUAAAAUUCCCAUGGCUUAGCCAAUAAUCUACACAUAGUAGUAGUGAUCUACGUCGAACCGCGCUACCGCUACUUGCUUUGUAGCAGCGCGUUUACGCUGAAAGGCGCUACUGCUAAAGGAAAUAAAAUUAAACGGAGAGAAAAUAGAAAAGUAAAUGAAAAUGAAAGAAAUAGAAAAAGGUGAAAGGAAAAAAAUGUAAGGAAAAAUAAUUGAAAACGGGGAAAAGAGAAAUGAAUAGCAGUAGCACGUAUCGAGGAACGCGCUGUAGCUAGCUUAGCAGUAGCGCACUUCCUGAAACGUGCUACUGCUACUUCUGACUUAAUCGCGCGGUUCGUUCUUCCCCAUAGCCACUUCCCUCAAAUCAAACUCCUCCGCUGUCGCCGCCGUCGUCGCCCGUCGGCCGCCGCGCGCUCUCCCGUCGCUCUCCGCACACCCUCGACGCUGCCCCCGACCCCGGAUUCGAUGCCGCCCCCGACCCCGACCUCGACGCCGCCCACGACCCCGACCUCGACGCCGCCCUCCGCCGCGCGCCCGAGCCCCGACCCUGACCUCAGCGCCGCCUGCCCCUCCCUUGCCGCAGGCACCCAAGGUGAGCACGCCUGCUCCUCCCCCUCCCCUACCUCUGCCUAGGGUUCUUCAAAUUUUAGUUGUAUCAAAUUAGUUAGGGUUCAUCUAUGGGUGGAAACGAAUCGGAUGCGGAUGUUAUCGCAUACGGAUGCGGCUCGGAUGUUUUCUUAGAUGAUGUUUUCUUAGAUGAUGAAUAAACACUAUUGUAAUGCAUAAUAAAACGAGUAAAAUUGACCACUUGUUUCACUUUUAAGUUGGAUAAUUGGAAUAUCCGCUACCACUUUCCACCCCUAGGUUCAUCAAAUUAGAUGGUAAGAACUAGGUACUAAUUAGGUACUAGUUUAUUUUUAUUUAUAGUAAGUUUAUUUUUAGUAAGAACUAGUUGAAUUAAUAAAACUAGUUGAACUUCUCACAUUUGUUGUUAUUUUUUAGUUAAAGCAAUUUUUCCCGCAUCGACGUCGACGAUGCCUAUCCCGCAUCCUCGUCGUCGACUCGGCGGAGGACACCUGCUUGACCAGAUGGGCCAUGUCCGAGACUGGGCUCUGCCGGGCUGGUACUGGGAGGUGCUACCUACCGGGGGCACAACUUGGUGAGGAGCCAGCCCAUCAUUGACCUGAACCUUCUUUGGUGGCGGCCGCGUGGGCCAGUGACGGUGCAGAGCCUUGAGGACCCCGUGGAGGUGGUACGUCACCGUGUCGGUGAGGAGGACGUGCACGUCCAUCGCUACUUGUCUGCGUUAGAGCACAUGUUCUACAAUACCUGGCAGGUUCUCCAGGGAUCUCACUGGAGCUAUGAUCCUGUGAUGGUUCCUUCUCUUUGGAUGUCCACCGCCCACGUCGAUACCCGUCGUGCGCUAGGGUUUUAGUUGUAUUAGUGAUGUUAUAUGUAUGAUACUAUUCGGGAUGUAUUAGUGAUAAUAUUCGAUGAAGUACGGACGCAUGAGAUGAUUUAGUUUUGCUUAUUGAAUGCAUGCUAAUUUGAAUACUUAUUUAUUUUACGAUUUGGUUUUUCUUAUUGAAUGCUCAUGUCAAUAUGAGUCCUAUAAGAUAUUUUGAAAUGUAUAUCUUGUGUUGCUCAAAUAGGAUAUGUGCUUGCCCAAGUGGCCGGUCAUGUUUGCAGCUUACACCUCCGAGUGGCCUAUGUUUUGCUGGAGUGUUGAUUCAUUUCCGUUCCGGCAAAUUUCAGGCACUCGAUAUGUCCUAUUUUAGCAAAGGUCAUGCCGGAUUUUUCCAUGAAUUUUGGCAUGACUUGUGCCAAAAUAUGUAGGAAAUAUUGAGUGCCCCGGAUUUGUGUGUUGAGUAUCCUGGUAGUUUCCUUCGAUCGAUUUUCAAUUAAUGUUUCAACUAUGAACAUAGGAAAUGUCUGACGACGAAAAGGAUUUUGGUAUUUGCGAAUAGUGCAAGGACGAGCGCGGCCUGUGCGAUAGAAUCUUCCUAGAUGAUGAUAGGCGCUUCAGCAUCAAGCUGGACGAGAACUUCGAAGUUGAUACAGUAAGUCACAACGACAAGUCUUUUUUCGUAAUUAAGCAUGACAUCUGCUUCAUUUACUUAACUUAUAAUUUAAAUUUUUACUAUUCUAUUAGUGUAUCCCCUGCCAUACAAGAGUUUUUGUCUUGGAUAAGAUAGGUUUCAGUCCUAUAAAAACUACUAUGGAGGUAAAGAGAGUUUACUUGAAGAGUGAGCAUGGUUAUACUUUCCAUGCAAAAUUAUACAGCGCAGACACCUACACCUAUUUUGAAUGCAAAACUUGGCAAGCACUAUGCAAAACUUAUGCAUUUGAGCCUGAUAUGGUUAUCACCUUUGAUAUUCGUCCGGAAGAUAAUACUGAAGGUAAUAUUAACAUAUGGGUCAAUGUGCAGACGCCUCCAGUUAUACCAUUAUGUGAGUUUCUCAACCAUAUUUAUGUCUUCGAUAUUGUUUAUUCAAAAAUAGUUGAUAACUAAUUUCUAUGGACAGCUUAUUUCCAUUCAAGCAAACAUGUUCGGCGCUUGGUAGACAUGACCGUCCACUGUCCCGGGGCUGAACUAAACUGUGAGGAGAUAGGUCAUUAUGUUUCAUGGCUUGAGGAUCUUCAUACUGUCAAGACAAAUUAUUUUCCUGGACUUAAAAAUCUUAGUACUCAAAACAUGCGACCAAUAGUGUUCGUCUUGAACUACGGUCACAUCUAUUUAGGAAAGAUGGUAAAAUGUUUACUAUUUGUCCUCGGUACAUCUUUUGCAUACAUUAUUUUUUAAGCUAAACUUCAUUGCUAAGUAUGUUAAUAUACCAUAUUCUUCAAUAGAGACUCCCGAUGAAUGUUGUGCCUCAUUGGAUCGAGACUAAAGGUCGCAUGAGAAUGGUUAGCUUACGGCCAAGAUACCCUACAAUGCACUUUAGUGCAUUCAGGAUUUCUAAAAGCGAGGAAUGCUUAAUAGUGAAAGACUGGAGAAAAAUUGUGAACGCUCGCGGAGAAGUACUAGGGGGCAGCAAUCAGAAGUGCAUCCCACUAUUAGGAGACAUGUUCAUCUGCGUGCUCCAACAUGAUGAAGCAGGAGUGCUACACAUGUUUUAUGCUAUUUUACCUGAUAGAGAGUAGCAGGAGUGAUUGGCUAGCUAGAAAUGAGUUAUGAUGAUUAAAUAGCUAGUGUUGGGACUAUGAUGAUUAUUAUUAGCUAGUAUUGGUGGUGAUUAGAUAGCUACCGCAGCUAGUGUUGGUGGUGAUUAGCUAGCUAGAAUGAGUUUGAAGAUGAUGAUGUGUGCUACACUAUGAGUGUGAUGAUUAAAUUGCUACUAUUGGUGGUAAUGACUAUGAUGAUGAUUAAAUAGCUUGUGUUGGCGGAUUAGAUUCAAGUGGAGGCAACGUGUGGUGCACAUCGAAAGUACAAAUAGUCCAAACUAGAUCAAGUUUGGAUUAGUAGUAUACUUUUGACAUGCACCACAUGUUGCCUCCACUUGAACCUAAUCCACCUUCAUUUGACACACUGUUAUGGACAUAUUGAUAUAGCAACCUCAUAAUUGGUAUUGUACCAAAAUUUGUAUAACGGCGUAUAAAUACUGAUGACGGGAAAAUAGCGGGCGUGAGAAUACGCGUCCACGUCAUUGAUACAGAAUGAAUAUAUUUAAAUGCGUAAAUGCAUACAAUAAAAAGGAGAUCAAACAUUGCAGGUACAUUAUUUCCAAAACUCUUACAUUUACAUAAAAGAUCUGUUAAUUACAUCUCCGAAGAGAAAACCCCUGAUUAAGAAUUCCAACAUAGCUAUUACAUAAUAUUGCAACACAUUCCUAUUACAACAUGCUACAAAAAAAAAAGAAAUUCCUCCUCGCGAUCGUCGACACCGGCAUGCUCGGGGGAGCCUUGGACUUUGUUGAUAUUAUCAUAUGUGAUGACUUUCAUUCAUAUUUGCUUUCAUUUGACUCGUACUGGUGUUGACAGUACGUGUGUGCAUGCUUGAAUUGAACGAAAUAUGCCCUAGAGGCAAUAAUAAAGUUAUUAUUUAUUUCCUUAUAUCAUGAUAAAUGUUUAUUAUUCAUGCUAGAAUUGUAUUAACCGGAAACAUAAUACAUGUGUGAAUACAUAGACAAACUUAGUGUCACUAGUAUGCCUCUACUUGACUAGCUCGUUUAUCAAAGAUGGUUAUGUUUCCUAACCAUGAACAAAGUGUUGUUAUUUGAUUAACGAGGUCACAUCAUUAGUUGAAUGAUCUGAUUGACAUGACCCAUUCCAUUAGCUUAGCACCCGAUCGUUUAGUAUGUUGCUAUUGCUUUCUUCAUGACAUAUACAUGUUCCUAUGACUAUGAGAUUAUGCAACUCCCGUUUGCCGGAGGAACACUUUGGGUGCUACCAAACGUCACAACAUAACUGGGUGAUUAUAAAGGAGCAUUACAGGUGUCUCCAAAGGUAGAUGUUGGGUUGGCGUAUUUCAAGAUUAGGAUUUGUCACUCCGAUUGUCGGAGAGGUAUCUCUGGGCCCUCUCGGUAAUGCACAUCACAUAAGCCUUGCAAGCAUUAAAACUAAUAUGUUAGUUGUGAGAUGAUGUAUUACGGAACGAGUAAAGAGACUUGCCGGUAACGAGAUUGAACUAGGUAUUGGAUACCGACGAUCGAAUCUCGGGCAAGUAACAUACCGAUGACAAAGGGAACAACGUAUGUUGUUAUGCGGUCUGACCGAUAAAGAUCUUCGUAGAAUAUGUAGGAGCCAAUAUGGGCAUCCAGGUCCCGCUAUUGGUUAUUGACCGGAAACGUGUCUCGGUCAUGUCUACAUUGUUCUCGAACCCGUAGGGUCCGCACGCUUAAGGUUACGAUGACAGUUAUAUUAUGAGUUUAUGCAUUUUGAUGUACCGAAGGUUGUUCGGAGUCCCGGAUGUGAUCACGGACAUGACGAGGAGUCUCAAAAUGGUCGAGACAUAAAGAUUGAUAUAUUGGAAGCCUAUGUUUGGAUAUCGGAAGUGUUCCGGGUGAAAUCGGGAUUUUACCGGAGUACCGGGAGGUUACCGGAACCCCCCGGGAACCAUAUGGGCCUUAAUGGGCUUUAGUGGAAAGGAGAAAGGGGCAGCCCAAGGUGGCCGCGCGCCUCCCCCCCUGCCCUAGUCCUAUUAGGACUAGGAGAGGUGGCCGGCCCCCCUCUCCCUCUUUCCCCCUCGGGGAAUCCUUGUCCAACUAGGAUUGGGCGGGGAGUCCUACUCCCGGGAGGAGUAGGACUCCUCCUGCGCCCUCCUCCUGGCCAGCGGCCCCCUCCCCCUUGGCUCCUUUAUAUACUAAGGCAGAGGCACCCCAGAAACACACAAGUUGAUCCACGUGAUCUAUUCCUUAGCCGUGUGCCGUGCCCCCAGCCACCAUAUUCCUCGAUAAUACUGUAGCGGAGUUUAGGCGAAGCCCUGCUGCUGUAGUGCAUCAAGAUCGUCACCACGUCGUCGUGCUGACGGAACUCUUCCCCGACACUUUGCUGGAUCGGAGUCCGGGGAUCGUCAUCGAGCUGAACGUGUGCUCGAACUCGGAGGUGCCGUAGUUUCAGUGCUUGAUCGGUUGGAUCGUGAAGACGUACGACUACUUCCUCUAUGUUGUGUCAGCGCUUCCGCAGUCGGUAUGCGUGGGUACGUAGACAACACUCUCCCCUCUCGUUGCUAUGGAUCACAUGAUCUUGCGUGUGCGUAGGAAAAUUUUGAAAUUACUACGAAACCCAACAGUGGCAUCCGAGCCUAGGUUAUUUAUGUUGAUGUUAUAUGCACGAGUAGAACACAAGUGAGUUGUGGGCGAUAUAAGUCAUACUGCCUACCAGCAUGCCAUACUUUGCUUCGGCAGCAUUGUUGGACGAGACGACCCGGACCAACAUUACGCGUACGCUUACGCGAGACCGGUUCCCCCGACGUGCUUUGCACAUAGGUGGCUUGCGGGCGACUGUCUCUCCAACUUUAGUUGAACCGAGUGUGGCUACGCCCGGUCCUUGCGAAGGUUAAAACGGAGUCUAUUUGACAAACUAUCAUUGUGGUUUUGAUGCGUAGGUGAGAUAGGUUCUUGCUUAAGCCCGUAGCAGCCACGUAAAACUUGCAACAACAAAGUAGAGGACGUCUAACUUGUUUUUGCAGGGCAUGUUGUGAUGUGAUAUGGUCAAGGCAUGAUGCUGAAUUUUAUUGUAUGAGAUGAUCAUGUUUUGUAACCGAGUUAUCGGCAACUGGCAGGAGCCAUAUGGUUGUCGCUUUAUUGUAUGCAAUGCAAUCGCGAUGUAAUGCUUUACUUUAUUACUAAGCGGUAGUGAUAGUCGUGGAAGCAUAAGAUUGGCGAGACGACAACGAUGCUACGAUGGAGAUCAAGGUGUCGCGCCGGUGACGAUGGUGAUCAUGACGGUGCUUCGGAGAUGGAGAUCACAGGCACAAGAUGAUGAUGGCCAUAUCAUAUCACUUAUAUUGAUUGCAUGUGAUGUUUAUCUUUUAUGCAUCUUAUCUUGCUUUGAUUGACGGUAGCAUUAUAAGAUGAUCUCUCACUAAAUUAUCAAGAAGUGUUCUCCCUGAGUAUGCACCGUUGCCAAAGUUCAUCGUGCCCAGACACCACGUGAUGAUCGGGUGUGAUAAGCUCUACGUUCAAAUACAACGGGUGCAAAACAGUUGCACACGCGGAAUACUCAGGUUAUACUUGACGAGCCAAGCAUAUACAGAUAUGGCCUCGGAACACGGAGACCGAAAGGUCGAGCGUGAAUCAUAUAGUAGAUAUGAUCAACAUAACGAUGUUCACCGAUGAAACUACUCCGUCUCACGUGAUGAUCGGACAUGGUUUAGUUGAUUUGGAUCACGUGAUCACUUAGAGGAUUAGAGGGGUGUCGAUCUAAGUGGGAGUUCUUAAGUAAUAUGAUUAAUUGAACUUAAAUUUAUCAUGAACUUAGUACCUGAUAGUAUCUUGCUUGUUUAUGUUGAUUGUAGAUAGAUGGCUCGUGCUGUUGUUCCGUUGAAUUUUAAUGCGUUCCUUGAGAAAGCAAAGUUGAAAGAUGAUGGUAGCAAUUACACGGACUGGGUCCGUAACUUGAGGAUUAUCCUCAUUGCUGCUCAGAAGAAUUACGUCCUGGAAGCAUCGCUGGGUGUCAGGCCUGCUGCUGGAGCAACACCAGAUGUUAUGAACGUCUAGCAGAGCAAAGCUGAUGACUACUCGAUAGUUCAGUGUGCCAUGCUUUACGGCUUAGAAUUGGGACUUCAACGACGUUUUGAACGUCAUGGAGCAUAUGAGAUGUUCCAGGAGUUGAAGUUAAUAUUUCAAGCAAAUGCCCGGAUUGAGAGAUAUGAAGUCUCCAAUAAGUUCUAUAGCUGCAAGAUGGAGGAGAACAGUUCUGUCAGUGAGCAUAUACUCAAAAUGUCUGGGUAUAAUAAUCACUUGAUUCAAUUGGGAGUUAAUCUUCCGGAUGAUUGCGUCAUUGACAGAAUUCUCCAAUCACUGCCACCAAGCUACAAGAGCUUCGUGAUGAACUAUAAUAUGCAAGGGAUGAACAAGACUAUUCCCGAGCUCUUCACAAUGCUGAAAGCGGCGGAGGUAGAAAUCAAGAAGGAGCAUCAAGUGUUGAUGGUUAACAAAACCACUAGUUUCAAGAAAAAGGGCAAAGGGAAGAAGAAGGGGAACUUCAAGAAGAACAGCAAGCAAGUUGCUGCUCAGGAGAAGAAACCCAAGUCUGGACCUAAGCCUGAAACUGAGUGCUUCUACUGCAAGCAGACUGGUCACUGGAAGCGGAACUGCCCCAAGUAUUUGGCGGAUAAGAAGGAUGGCAAGGUGAACAAAGGUAUAUGUGAUAUACAUGUUAUUGAUGUGUACCUUACUAGAGCUCGCAGUAGAACCUGGGUAUUUGAUACUGGUUCUGUUGCUAAUAUUUGCAACUCGAAACAGGGACUACAGAAUAAGCGGGCACUGGCAAAGGACGAGGUGACGAUGCGCGUGGGAAACGGUUCCAAAGUCGAUGUGAUCGCGGUCGGCACGCUACCUCUACAUCUACCUUCGGGAUUAAUAUUAGACCUAAAUAAUUGUUAUUUGGUGCCAGCGUUGAGCAUGAACAUUAUAUCUGGAUCUUGUUUGAUGCGAGACGGUUAUUCAUUUAAAUCAGAGAAUAAUGGUUGUUCUAUUUAUAUGAGUAAUAUCUUUUAUGGUCAUGCACCCUUGAAGAGUGGUCUAUUCUUAUUGAAUCUCGAUUGUAGUAAUACACAUAUUCAUAAUGUUGAAGCCAAAAGAUGCAGAGUUGAUAAUGAUAGUGCAACUUAUUUGUGGCACUGCCGUUUAGGUCAUAUCGGUGUAAAGCGCAUAAAGAAACUCCAUACUGAUGGACUUUUGGAACCACUUGAUUAUGAAUCACUUGGUACUUGCGAACCGUGCCUCAUGGGCAAGAUGACCAAAACACCGUUCUCCGAUACUAUGGAGAGAGCAACAGAUUUGUUGGAAAUCAUACAUACAGAUGUAUGUGGUCCAAUGAAUAUUGAGGCUCGUGGUGUAUAUCGUUAUUUUCUCACCUUCACAGAUGAUUUAAGCAGAUAUGGGUAUAUCUACUUAAUGAAACAUAAGUCUGAAACAUUUGAAAAGUUCAAGGAAUUUCAGAGUGAAGUUGAAAAUCAUUGUAACAAGAAAAUAAAGUUUCUACGAUCUAAUCGUGGAGGAGAAUAUUUGAGUUACGAGUUUGGUGUACAUUUGAAAAAUUGUGGAAUAGUUUCGCAACUCACGCCACCCGGAACACCACAGCGUAAUGGUGUGUCCGAACGUCGUAAUCGUACUUUACUAGAUAUGGUGCGAUCUAUGAUGUCUCUUACUGAUUUACCGCUAUCGUUUUGGGGAUACGCUCUAGAGACGGCCGCAUUCACGUUAAAUAGGGCACCAUCAAAAUCCGUUGAGACGACACCUUAUGAACUGUGGUUUGGCAAGAAACCAAAGUUGUCGAUUCUAAAAGUUUGAGGCUGCGAUGCUUAUGUGAAAAAGCUUCAACCUGAUAAGCUCGAACCCAAAUCGGAGAAAUGUGUCUUCAUAGGAUAUCCAAAGGAAACUAUUGGAUACACCUUCUAUCACAGAUCCGAAGGCAAGACUUUUGUUGCUAAAUUCGGAAACUUUCUAGAGAAGGAGUUUCUCUCGAAAGAAGUGAGUGGGAGGAAAGUAGAGCUUGACGAGGUAACUAUACCUGCUCCCUUAUUGGAAAGUAGUACAUCACAGAAAACUGUUCCUGUGACACCUACACCAGUUAGUGAGGAAGUUAAUGAUAAUGAUCAUGAAACUUCAGAACAAGAUACUACUGAACCUCGUAGAUCAACCAGAGUAAGAUCCGCGCCAGAGUGGUACGGUAAUCCUGUUCUGGAAGUCAUGCUACUAGAUCAUGAUGAACCUACGAACUAUGAAGAAGCGAUGGUGAGCCCAGAUUCCGCAAAGUAACUUGAAGCCAUGAAAUCUGAGAUGGGAUUCAUGUAUGAGAACAAAGUAUGGACUUUGGUUGACUUGCCCGAUGAUCGGCAAGCAAUUGAGAACAAAUGGAUCUUUAAGAAGAAGACUGACGCUGAUGGUAAUGUUACUGUCUACAAAGGUCGACUUGUCGCGAAAGGUUUUCGGCAAGUUCAAGAGAUUGACUACGAUGAGACCUUCUCACCCGUAGCGAUGCUUAAGUCUGUCCGAAUCAUGUUAGCGAUUGCUGCAUUUAUGAUUAUGAAAUCUGGCAGAUGGAUGUCAAAACUGCAUUCCUGAAUGGAUUUCUGGAAGAAGAGUUGUAUAUGAUGCAACCGGAAGGUUUUGUCGAUCCAAAGGGAGCUAACAAAGUGUGCAAGCUCCAGCGAUCCAUUUAUGGACUGGUGCAAGCCUCUCGGAGUUGGAAUAAACGCUUUGAUAGUGUGAUCAAAGCAUUUGGUUUUAUACAGACUUUCAGAGAAGCCUGUAUUUACAAGAAAGUGAGUGGGAGCUCUGUAGCAUUUCUAAUAUUAUAUGUGGAUGACAUAUUACUAAUUGGAAAUGAUAUAGAAUUUCUGGAUAGCAUAAAGGGAUACUUGAAUAAGAGUUUUUCAAUGAAAGACCUCGGUGAAGCUGCUUACAUAUUAGGCAUAAAGAUCUAUAGAGAUAGAUCAAAACGCUUAAUUGGACUUUCACAAACAACAUACCUUGACAAAAUUUUGAAGAAGUUCAAAAUGGAUCAAGCAAAGAAAGGAUUCUUGCCUGUAUUACAAGGUGUGAAAUUGAGUAAGACUCAAUGCCCGACCACUGCAGAAGAUAGAGAGAAUAUGAAAGAUGUUCCCUAUGCAUCAGCCAUAGGAUCUAUCAUGUAUGCAAUGCUGUGUACCAGACCCGAUGUGUGCCUUGCUAUAAGUCUAGCAGGGAGGUACCAAAGUAAUCCGGGAGUGGAUCACUGGACAGCGGUCAAGAACAUCCUGAAAUACCUGAAAAGGACUAAGGAUAUGUUUCUCAUAUAUGGAGGUGACAAAGAGCUCAUCGUAAAAGGUUACGUUGAUGCAAGCUUUGACACUGAUCCGGACGAUUCUAAAUCGCAAACCGGAUACGUGUUUACAUUGAAUGGUGGAGCUGUCAGUUGGUGCAGUUCUAAACAAAGCGUCGUAGGGGGAUCUACAUGUGAAGCGGAGUACAUAGCUGCUUCGGAAGCAGCGAACGAAGGAGUCUGGAUGAAGGAGUUCAUAUCCGAUCUAGGUGUCAUACCUAAUGCAUCGGGUCCAAUGAAAAUCUUUUGUGACAACACUGGUGCAAUUGCCUUGGCAAAGGAAUCUAGAUUUCACAAGAGAACCAAGCACAUCAAGAGACGCUUCAAUUCCAUCCGGGAUCUAGUCCAGGUGGGAGACAUAGAGAUUUGCAAGAUACAUACGGAUCUGAAUGUUGCAGACCCGUUGACUAAGCCUCUUCCACAAGCAAAACAUGAUCAGCACCAAGGCUCCAUGGGUGUUAGAAUCAUUACGGUGUAAUCUAGAUUAUUGACUCUAGUGCAAGUGGGAGACUAAAGGAAAUAUGCCCUAGAGGCAAUAAUAAAGUUAUUAUUUAUUUCCUUAUAUCAUGAUAAAUGUUUAUUAUUCAUGCUAGAAUUGUAUUAACCGGAAACAUAAUACAUGUGUGAAUACAUAGACAAACUUAGUGUCACUAGUAUGCCUCUACUUGACUAGCUCAUUAAUCAAAGAUGGUUAUGUUUCCUAACCAUGAACAAAGUGUUGUUAUUUGAUUAACGAGGUCACUUCAUUAGUUGAAUGAUCUGAUUGACAUGACCCAUUCCAUUAGCUUAGCACCCGAUCGUUUAGUAUGUUCCUAUUGCUUUCUUCAUGACAUAUACAUGUUCCUAUGACUAUGAGAUUAUGCAACUCCCAUUUGCUGGAGGAACACUUUGGGUGCUACCAAACGUCACAACGUAACUGGGUGAUUAUAAAGGAGCAUUACAGGUGUCUCCAAAGGUAGAUGUUGGGUUGGCAUAUUUCGAGAUUAGGAUUUGUCACUCCGAUUGUCGGAGAGGUAUCUCUGGGCCCUCUCGGUAAUGCACAUCACAUAAGCCUUGCAAGCAUUACAACUAAUAUGUUAGUUGUGAGAUGAUGUAUUACGGAACGAGUAAAGAGACUUGCCAGUAACGAGAUUGAACUAGGUAUUGGAUACCGACGAUCGAAUCUCGGGCAAGUAACAUACCGAUGACAAAGGGAACAACGUAUGUUGUUAUGCGGUCUGACCGAUAAAGAUCUUCGUAGAAUAUGUAGGAACCAAUAUGGGCAUCCAGGUCCCGCUAUUGGUUAUUGACCGGAAACAUGUCUCGGUCAUGUCUACAUUGUUCUCGAACCCGUAGGGUCCGCACGCUUAAGGUUACGAUGACGGUUAUAUUAUGAGUUUAUGCAUUUUGAUGUACCGAAGGUUGUUUGGAGUCCCGGAUGUGAUCACGGACAUGACGAGGAGUCUCGAAAUGGUCGAGACGUAAAGAUUGAUAUAUUGGAAGCCUAUGUUUGGAUAUCGGAAGUGUUCCGGGUGAAAUCGGGAUUUUACCGGAGUACCGGGAGGUUACCGGAACCCCCCGGGAACCAUAUGGGCCUUAAUGGGCUUUAGUGGAAAGGAGAAAGGGGCAGCCCAAGGUGGCCGCGCGCCUGCCCCCCCUCCCUAAGUCCUAUUAGGACUAGGAGAGGUGGUCGGCCCCCCUUUCCCUCUUUCCCCCUCGGGGAAUCCUAGUCCAACUAGGAUUGGGGGGAGUCCUACUCCCGGGAGGAGUAGGACUCCUCCUGGCCGGCGGCCCCCUUCCCCUUGGCUCCUUUAUAUACUGAGCCAGAGGCACCCCAGAAACACACAAGUUGAUCCACGUGAUCUAUUCCUUAGCCGUGUGCGGUACCCCCAGCCACCAUAUUCCUCGAUAAUACUGUAGCGGAGUUUAGGCGAAGCCCUCCUGCUGUAGUGCAUCAAGAUCGUCACCACGCCAUCGUGCUGACGGAACUCUUCCCUGACACUUUGCUGGAUCGGAGUCCGGGGGUCGUCAUCGAGCUGAACGUGUGCUGGAACUCGAAGGUGCCGUAGUUUCGGUGCUUGAUCGGUUGGAUCGUGAAGACGUACGACUACUUUCUCUACGUCGUGUCAGCGCUUCCGCAGUCGGUCUGCGUGGGUACGUAGACAACACUCUCCCCUCUCGUUUCUAUGCAUCACAUGAUCUUGUGUGUGCGUAGGAAAAUUUUGAAAUUACUACGAAACCCAACAUGAAUGACUUCACUUACUUUUCCUUGUUGAUUAACCAAUAUAUAGACUUUGAUUUAUUUUCUUUACUUUGUAUGAGAAAGUCAUCUUAAUGGUUAACCAAUCUGUUAAAUGAGUCUUCAAACAUCAUGAUGCAUGCGUAUGGGACAUACAGUCAUGCACGUGUUCUGUGCAAUGCAACUACUUUAGUACUAACAAUUGUAGUACUCUUUGUUUUAUGAGUAGAUGGCAUCUACGUUUUCUUAAUAUUUGCAAGCCGUACGGGGGAUGCAUGAUCUAACUUUCAUCUUAUGCGAAGAUAAGCUAGAUGUGACCUUUUUGAGCAUAUAUGGAGCAGAUAAAAGAUAUUUAAUUUGUUUUGGUGGCAUAUGCAAGUGCACUACAAUAUUUCGAGUGAGGUCAAACUCAGAUUAUGACUCUGGUCAUCUUUUAGUUUUUGUUUAAUGUAUGUCCAUAUGAAGGGACCAUACAAUUUAUUUUGGUUGGGUGGAUGUACACCAAUUCACCUAGAAUUAGCUAGGUAGGACGUGUCCAUUUUACUUUGCAUGCGCCUACACUAGAUUCGCCAAUAUCUAGUUAUUUAUCGAUGAUGACAGCUAGCAUUAUUUAGGGCCAGCACAUUUUUAUAAAGUGCACCCAUUUAGUCUAUUUUAGAGACAUUUGGUUAAUAUAAUAGCAUUUAUGAUUUGGGCGGCAUUUUGUUUAUGCACCAUGAAGUGGGAUGUCAAUUUUCUACGCACCCAACUUUGAACAUGGUUAAUUAAGUUUUGCUACAUGACUCAAUUUUAGCAUAUCAUGCACACAUGUGAUCAUCGAACAUGCGACUAAGUAUGGUGUCUUUUGACGAGCACCUAUUGUUUUGCAAUAUUUUUUAUAUGCAUCUUAUAGUAUAUAGUUUGUUCCUCAUUUUUUUAUGUUGAUUUUUCCCGAGUCAUACCUUUGCCGUGAUUUUGUUGAGAACAAAGCCUUCACUCUACAUAAGGGAAGAAAUACCUUGAUUUGUGUCAAUAUGACCAAACCAGAGGAACUCAUCAUGCAACUUGUAUUUCUUGACAUGUGUCAACAUGACCAUGGCAAGAAAAAACUAUCAAAUUUGUGAGAAUACCUCUUGACAUGUGUCAAUAUGACUGUGCCAAGAGUAAGAUAUUAAACUUGUGAGAAUACUACUUGACAUGUGUCAACAUAACCAUGCCAAGAGUGAGCUCUCGAAUAUAGUGAAAAUACUAGACAUGUGUCAAUAUGACCAUGCCAAGAGUAGAAUGCCAAAUUUGUGGAGGAUGAAGGCCACUUGGGAUGUGUCAAUAUGACCAAGCCAAGAGCAAGAAUCAUGUCACUUGGAGAAAAAAAAAUCAAGAUCUGUGUCAAUAUGACCAAAUCAAGAACCAUCAUAUGGAGGAAAAAGCAAGGAUCAUGCUAAUUGAAGAAAAGUCCUAGAUCUGUGUCAAUAUGACCAGAUCAAGAACCAUUAUAUGAGGAAAAAAGCUACUUGACUCAUGUCAAUAUGACCAAGCCAAGAGCAAAAUUUGGGCAACAUGGAAAAGAAUUCAUGAUCUGUGUCAAUGUGACCAAAUCAAGAAUCAUCAUAUGGGGAGAAGCUACUUGGCUCAUGUCAAUAUGACCAAACCAAUAGCAAAGAUUGAGCAAGCAUAGGGAAGAUCACCAAUCAGAGAAGCAAAGGGAUUAGGAGAGAACAAUGAAUCUCACCUUCUUGCUAAACUCCUCCAAAUCUCCCUCUCCUCACGUAUGUGUGUGUGGAAUUUUUUUGUAGCAGUAUAUGUGUGUAGCAGCAGCAGAACAAGAGAGAAUAAGCAGUCCAAUCUAGGGGAAAAGGGACCAGCCUUGUACGCCCAGGAACGCCUAUAUUUAUAGGCGUGGGGAGAGCAGCGAAGGCUCUCUGGCGCGCGCCCACCUUCUCUGAUCGUGGCAUGCAUUCGUGUAAUCGUGGGAGUGCAUGGGUCGUGGGAGUCCCUGCAUGUUUCUUUUCUUAUAUUUCCUUUCUUUAAUUAAUUGCUCUUUGACCAAGCUUUGAACCGGCCACUAGUCUAAUUAGCCCAUCUAGUUUUUUUAUUAACGUGUGGGCUUGGACACUAGCCCAUCAUUUUGCUUGUGGUGAUUAGCUGAUCCAUUGCCACCUUGUAAAUUAGUCUCACCCACUAUGCAUGCAUGUACGUAGACAUUUGUAUGAAUGAGCUGAUAAUGACUAAUUAAAAUGGUUUUUUUGGAAAAUUCAUUCCAAUUUCUUUGUCGUGCCAUAAAAAAAGAUAUAUGCAAAUAUUCUUUCAUGGACAAUUAUAUGAUGGCCUGGCGUUUUCUUCUUAUUUCCUUAGAUAUAUAUACCGACGCAUGUCUUAUUUUAUCCACCGCAUUGAUAUUUCACAUUAUUGACGGAAUAGGCCUCGCAUUUACCCUACGGUCGAUAUUUCGAAAACAUUAUGAUUUUAUGUAGGUAUUUGACACCCGCCGUAGGUGAUGGUGUGCAUGGAUGGAAGUUAUGUGUGAUUUUAGUCAGGACAAAAUUUUCAUGGAGAUCUUUAUUCACUUUGCAAAAUUUCCAGAUAUCAACUCUUUUAUUAAUUUAUUUUGUGUGCCCGCUGUUUUGUACUAAGUGAUGGAAAUUCACCAUGGUCGUUUACACUCAAUGGUGUAUUUUAUCAUUUUCACCAUUUAAAAUAAUUCAUUUGUUUUAAUCACACUAUAUUCCCUUUGACCGAAAUCCGUGCCAACAAAUACACUAAAAAUUAAAAAAAAUGAGAAAAAGAAUACUAGUAGCGAUGGAGAGUAAACACGCUACUACUAGCUAUAUUAGCAGUAGCGCGAGAGUGAACAAAAGAUGCGGCUAUAUGUCUUAGCAGUAGCGCGUGUCGCACGCGCUACUGCUAAGGAAUAGCUGUAGCGCCUUACUAGUAGCACGGUGUCCCGUGCUACUAGUGGGCAAACCCGCGCCACUACUAGGGUUUUCCCUAGUAGUGGAGUGCCAAAAGCUCCAUCUUGGACUAUCAGAAAAAGGGGUCUACCUUGCAUCUUGUAAAGCAUCUCUUCUUAUGGUAUGGGUCUUGACGAAUCGUGUGGCCAAAUGAAUUGGGUCUUGAAGCAUACCUUCCACCCAUACUGGAUUAUGAUCGUCCUGUUCUUGGCCCAUGGGUCUUACAAGAUAUUAACUAUAAGGGGUAUCUCAAAGAGAGAAAGGGGCUCAUUGAAGGUGGCGAAGAUACAGAAUACAUGGAAUAGCUAAAAGAAAACAAAUUAGAGUUAAACUCCAGCAAGGAACAACUAGUGGAAGAAAAGUUUGAAUGGGACUCUGAAAAUGACAACAUACUUCAUAAGGAAGAUGUGGUUGAUGCUCGUGGCAAUGGAUACUUUGAUAUCCUUGGAUUCCAUCCAUAUAAAGAAAUUGUCUUUCUGGGUGUAUCAAUGUACAGAGGAAUUGCCUAUCAUUUGAAAGAUUCGAAGGUUCAGGACCUUGGCUACUUAUACCCAACAACUUGUCAUUUGGCAUUGCAGAAUGUGUGUUUUAUAACCGUGUCAUUCCCAUAUACACCUUCUUUGAUAGGGUACCAGUAAGCAAUUAACAAGAAUGUACAAGGGCAUCUUAGAGACUGGUAUGCUGGUUGGAACCGAAUUGAACAUCACAAUAAAUGGCCUAAUCAUGUUUAAGGUCUUGUUCAUUUUUAUUUAGCACUGGAUUUAUACUUAUCCAAUGAAGUGUCCAUAUUUUCCAUGUCGGUUCUAAGAACAUGUGACGUAAUAGUGUAUCAUCAGAAAAUGGAAAGUAUAUCAAAUAUACUUCAUUGCUUUGUUCAACAACGCCAAUGUGUUUCUUUCUUAUGUAUCAUCUAUAUCGGAAACCAAUAUUUCCCUCAGCAGUAUCAUUUUCCCCUAUUAGUUUUGUUGUUGUUUUCCGGGUCCAGUUGGUGGAUAGUCUCAUCCUUGUCUGUUGUCUGAAUUCUUGUCCUGCUUAUAGUGCGGUACUCUUGUAUGCCUAACCUACUCCAGGAAAAG
RNAcentral lists this long non-coding RNA (40351 nucleotides) under Triticum aestivum (bread wheat). RNAcentral describes it as "long non-coding RNA (TAES_LNC020069)". The record is from RNAcentral. Lineage: Eukaryota; Viridiplantae; Streptophyta; Magnoliopsida; Poales; Poaceae.